This 253-nucleotide ribosomal RNA is filed under the name uncultured bacterium. RNAcentral describes it as "partial 16S ribosomal RNA". It matches the Rfam family "Bacterial small subunit ribosomal RNA", at positions 524 to 776 of the family's 1533-position model. The record is from RNAcentral.
UACGUAGGUGGCGAGCGUUGUCCGGAUUUACUGGGCGUAAAGGGAGCGUAGGCGGAUUUUUAAGUGAGAUGUGAAAUACUCGGGCUUAACCUGAGUGCUGCAUUUCAAACUGGAAGUCUAGAGUGCGGGAGAGGAGAAGGGAAUUCCUAGUGUAGCGGUGAAAUGCGUAGAGAUUAGGAAGAACACCAGUGGCGAAGGCGCUUCUCUGGACCGUAACUGACGCUGAGGCUCGAAAGCGUGGGGAGCAAACAGG